Molecule: ribosomal RNA, 408 nt
Filed under: uncultured bacterium
Lineage: Bacteria
Description: partial 16S ribosomal RNA
Rfam family: Bacterial small subunit ribosomal RNA
Source: RNAcentral
GACGAACGCUGGCGGCGUGCUUAACACAUGCAAGUCGAACGAAGUGGCGAACGGGUGAGUAACGCGUAAUCAACCUGCCCUUCAGAGGGGGACAACAGUUGGAAACGACUGCUAAUACCGCAUACUGACGGCGGGGAUUGCGUCUGAUUUGCUAGUUGGCGGGGUAACGGCCCACCAAGGCGAUGCGAGGUAGCCGGUCUGAGAGGAUUAUCGGCCAAAGUGGGACUGAGACAUGGCCCAGACGCAUACGGGAGGCAGCAGUGGGUAAGCUUCCGCAAUGGACGAAAGUCGGACGGAGCAACGCCGCGUGAGUGAUGACGGCCGUCGGGUUGUAAAGCUCUGUUAAUCGGGACGCGGUACCGGAAUAGAAAGCCACGGCUAACUACGUGCCAGCAGCCGCGGUAAUAC